This 451-nucleotide ribosomal RNA is filed under the name uncultured bacterium. RNAcentral's name for it is "partial 16S ribosomal RNA". It matches the Rfam family "Bacterial small subunit ribosomal RNA", at positions 354 to 796 of the family's 1533-position model. The record is from RNAcentral.
GUGGGGAAUAUUGGACAAUGGGGGGAACCCUGAUCCAGCCAUGCCGCGUGUGUGAAGAAGGCCUUUUGGUUGUAAAGCACUUUAAGCGAGGAGGAGGCUACCGAGAUUAAUACUCUUGGAUAGUGGACGUUACUCGCAGAAUAAGCACCGGCUAACUCUGUGCCAGCAGCCGCGGUAAUACAGAGGGUGCAAGCGUUAAUCGGAUUUACUGGGCGUAAAGCGCGCGUAGGUGGCCAAUUAAGUCAAAUGUGAAAUCCCCGAGCUUAACUUGGGAAUUGCAUUCGAUACUGGUUGGCUAGAGUAUGGGAGAGGAUGGUAGAAUUCCAGGUGUAGCGGUGAAAUGCGUAGAGAUCUGGAGGAAUACCGAUGGCGAAGGCAGCCAUCUGGCCUAAUACUGACACUGAGGUGCGAAAGCAUGGGGAGCAAACAGAAUUAGAUACCCUUGUAGUCC